AGUGAACGCUGGCGGUAUGCCUAAUACAUGCAAGUCGAACGGAAGCACAGUAAGAGCUUGCUCUUACGGGUGGCGAGUGGCGGAUGGGUGACGAAUACAUCAGAAUCUUCUUUUUCGUGGGGGAUUACGUAGGGCAACAUCCACUAAUACCUCAUAUAAUCUACCGGUGAAAUCAGUGGAUCUUCGGACCUUUCCCGUUUGUAUGAGCCGAUGUCGGAUUAGCUAGUUGGCGGGGUAAAGGCCCACCAAGGCGACGAUCCGUAGCUGAUCUGAGAGGAUGAUCGGCCACACUGGAACUGAGACACGGUCCAGACUCCUACGGGAGGCAGCAGUAGGGAAUAUUGGACAAUGGGCGAAAGCCUGAUGGAGCAAUGCCGCGUGAGUGAAGAAGGCCUUCGGAUUGUAAAACCCUGUUGUUAGGGAAGAAAAGAAGCGGGAGUAAACACGGAUGUUUUGACGGUACCUAAUGAGUAAGCAACGGCUAACUUCGUG
RNAcentral lists this ribosomal RNA (492 nucleotides) under uncultured bacterium. Its description in RNAcentral is "partial 16S ribosomal RNA". It matches the Rfam family "Bacterial small subunit ribosomal RNA", at positions 29 to 507 of the family's 1533-position model. The record is from RNAcentral.